CAGCAGCGCGGUAAUACGUAGGGUGCAAGCGUUAAUCGGAAUUACUGGGCGUAAAGCGUGCGCAGGCGGUUAUAUAAGACAGAUGUGAAAUCCCCGGGCUCAACCUGGGAACUGCAUUUGUGACUGUAUAGCUAGAGUACGGCAGAGGGGGAUGGAAUUCCGCGUGUAGCAGUGAAAUGCGUAGAUAUGCGGAGGAACACCGAUGGCGAAGGCAAUCCCCUGGGCCUGUACUGACGCUCAUGCACGAAAGCGUGGGGAGCAAACAGGAUUAGAUACCCCAGUAGUCCCUGUCUCUUAUACC
Molecule: ribosomal RNA, 301 nt
Filed under: uncultured bacterium
Lineage: Bacteria
Description: partial 16S ribosomal RNA
Rfam family: Bacterial small subunit ribosomal RNA
Source: RNAcentral